Molecule: long non-coding RNA, 1407 nt
Filed under: Cicer arietinum (chickpea)
Lineage: Eukaryota; Viridiplantae; Streptophyta; Magnoliopsida; Fabales; Fabaceae
Description: long non-coding RNA (CARI_LNC002853)
Source: RNAcentral
UCAAAUUCCAUGUGACAUAAUCUUCGCUUAAACAAGAAGAUAGUUAUGCAACUAACUCAAUUGAAUCUUCAGAUUGCUCCAAAGAUCUCUUAAGCUCCACUACUCUCUUCUUCUUAAGCUCCCUUCGUAUUUGGCUUAUAGACCUGCAAAAGUGAUAUUACUAUCAAUAAUAAAUUCAUCUAUUGAAAGGCAUAUAUGUCCCUAAAUUAGGAACAAAGUAAACCCAACAGCAUGGAUUUGGUGAAUGACAUUGACACACCAACAAAACAGAAACUAUAUGGUAAUAGAGAAUCUAAUAUCAUGUCAUGAACCAACAAUCACAAAGACUAGGUUUGGAUUAACUUAUGUCAUAUAAAAUCUUACAUAAAAUAUGUUGAAGGUACUUUACCUACGAAAAUGUCCUUAAAAACUUACAAAUGUUUAUGAAGCAAUUAAAUAAAAGAGCUUAUGAAAAAAUUGAGAUUAAGAAGCUAAUUUCUAACUGACAUCGUAAGGUAUUGUCUUAAAAACUCGCAUCUAUUAUUAGGUUCUUCUAAUAUUUCUUUUUUAAUGGAUACUUCUAGAGACGUUAAUCCAUUCAAAAACUUAAGCUAUUAGAUGAAUGUCUAAACACAAGAUAAACAUACUUAAUCUCACUCAAAUCAUUCAUCUCUCAAAAUCCAUUAGAGCAACUAGUCGAAUAUACAGUCCAAACCUGCCAUCAAUCACACAACUAUCAUAAAGCAUAAUAUCCCUAAACAAAUUGAACACAAGUAUAAUAUAAAUAUACUACCAGCUCAACGAACAUAAUUUUGGAAUCUGGAAUCAGAAAUUCAAUUAAAAGUGCAUCAACAAGAUUAAGAAAACCCAAUUAAGAAAAUAAUAUGCACAAGAUUGCAACCAAAUUUUAUAUUUUUAGUCAAUCAUACUUCCUAACUCAGUCAUAACUUUGUGUCACCUAGAAUCAAAUUGAAUUUUUAGAGUAAACUAGAAAGCAUCAAUUCAAUCAUUUGAAGAUGAUUAUAAAGUCACUUUUAGAGUAAUGCAAUAGCAAAAACCCUAAUCAAUGCAGAGGUUGAACAAUAACAGAUCAAGGAUGAAAAUACAUACCAAAAUCACCAACUCAAAAAAUUAAAAGUGAAUCAACAAGAUUAAGAAAAUAAUAUGCACAAGAUUGCAACCAAGUUUCAUAAUUUUAGUCACUCAUACUUCCUAAACCAGUCAUAAUUUUGUGUCACCUAGAAUCAAAUUGAACUUUUAGGGUAAACCAGACAGAAUCAAUUCAACCAUUUUAGAAAUAAGAAAUCGUAACCAGAAAUUAAUGCAGAGGUUGAGCGAUAACAGAGAAAGAACGAAAAUACAUACCAAAAAUCACCAAGUAACGAAGAGGUAGAAGUUUGCAAGUUUCGAAAAGGUUGAGUGUAAUCG